RNAcentral lists this ribosomal RNA (253 nucleotides) under uncultured bacterium. Its description in RNAcentral is "partial 16S ribosomal RNA". It matches the Rfam family "Bacterial small subunit ribosomal RNA", at positions 524 to 776 of the family's 1533-position model. The record is from RNAcentral.
UACGAAGGGGGCUAGCGUUGCUCGGAAUCACUGGGCGUAAAGGGUGCGUAGGCGGAUUGCUAAGUCAGGGGUGAAAUCCUGGAGCUCAACUCCAGAACUGCCUUUGAUACUGGCGACCUUGAGUCCGGGAGAGGUGAGUGGAACUGCGAGUGUAGAGGUGAAAUUCGUAGAUAUUCGCAAGGACACCAGUGGCGAAGGCGGCUCACUGGCCCGGUACUGACGCUGAGGUGCGAAAGCGUGGGGAGCAAACAGG